GACGAACGCUGGCGGCGUGCUUAACACAUGCAAGUCGAACGGAAAGGCCCUGCUUUUGUGGGGUGCUCGAGUGGCGAACGGGUGAGUAACAAGUGAGUAACCUGCCCUUAACUUUGGGAUAACUUCAGGAAACUGGGGCUAAUACCGGAUAGGAGCUCCUGCUGCAUGGUGGGGGUUGGAAAGUUUCGGCGGUUGGGGAUGGACUCGCGGCUUAUCAGCUUGUUGGUGGGGUAGUGGCUUACCAAGGCUUUGACGGGUAGCCGGCCUGAGAGGGUGACCGGCCACAUUGGGACUGAGAUACGGCCCAGACUCCUACGGGAGGCAGCAGUGGGGAAUAUUGCACAAUGGGCGGAAGCCUGAUGCAGCAACGCCGCGUGCGGGAUGACGGCCUUCGGGUUGUAAACCGCUUUCGCCUGUGACGAAGCGUGAGUGACGGUAAUGGGUAAAGAAGCACCGGCUAACUACGUG
Molecule: ribosomal RNA, 468 nt
Filed under: uncultured bacterium
Lineage: Bacteria
Description: partial 16S ribosomal RNA
Rfam family: Bacterial small subunit ribosomal RNA
Source: RNAcentral